UACGGGGGGAGCAAACGUUGUUCGGAAUUAUUGGGCGUAAAGAGCUCGUAGGCGGUCUGUCGCGUCGAUCGUGAAAACUUGGGGCUUAACCCUGAGCUUGCGGUCGAUACGGGCAUGACUGGAGUUCGGCAGGGGAGACUGGAAUUCCUGGUGUAGCGGUGAAAUGCGCAGAUAUCAGGAGGAACACCGGUGGCGAAGGCGGGUCUCUGGGCCGAUACUGACGCUGAGGAGCGAAAGCGUGGGGAGCGAACAGG
Molecule: ribosomal RNA, 254 nt
Filed under: uncultured bacterium
Lineage: Bacteria
Description: partial 16S ribosomal RNA
Rfam family: Bacterial small subunit ribosomal RNA
Source: RNAcentral